This is a non-coding RNA of Pelobates cultripes (western spadefoot toad), 207 nucleotides long. The record is from the annotation of a GenBank genome assembly. Lineage: Eukaryota; Metazoa; Chordata; Amphibia; Anura; Pelobatidae.
CCACUAAGGUGAUGGAUCCCACAGACGGACACCUCCGAGCGGCAGAAUGGUCAGCGUGGAGCCGGCCCUAGCCCCUGGAUUUGGUGGUGGUCCAGGGAGGCCUACCCCCAACUCUGUGAGCCCUAUGGCGUCAGGGUGGACUGGACCCCCUGUGGACCGGUGUCUGGGGGGACAAACACCGGCGACAUGCAAGAGGCCAGAAAAAGG